GACGAACGCUGGCGGCAGGCUUAACACAUGCAAGUCGAACGCGUGUAGCAAUACACGAGUGGCGCACGGGUGAGUAACGCGUGGAUAUCUGCCUUUUGGUUCGGAAUAACUCCGGGAAACUGGAGCUAAUACCGGAUGGUUCCUACGGGAUAAAGAUUUAUCGCCAAAAGAUGAGUCCGCGUACGAUUAGCUAGUUGGUGAGGUAAUGGCUCACCAAGGCGACGAUCGUUAGCUGGUCUGAGAGGACGAUCAGCCACACUGGGACUAAGACACGGCCCAGACUCCUACGGGAGGCAGCAGUGGGGAAUAUUGGACAAUGGGGGCAACCCUGAUCCAGCCAUGCCGCGUGAGUGAUGAAGGCCUUCGGGUUGUAAAGCUCUUUUGGCGGGGACGAUGAUGACGGUACCCGCAGAAUAAGCCCCGGCUAACUUCGUGCCAGCCGCCGCGGUAA
This 451-nucleotide ribosomal RNA is filed under the name uncultured bacterium. RNAcentral's name for it is "partial 16S ribosomal RNA". It matches the Rfam family "Bacterial small subunit ribosomal RNA", at positions 28 to 523 of the family's 1533-position model. The record is from RNAcentral.